GUGGUUAUAGCUCAGUGGUAAAGCACAUGCUUAGCAUGCACAAGGUCCUGGAUUCAAUUCCCAGUACCUCCG
This 72-nucleotide transfer RNA is filed under the name Camelus bactrianus (Bactrian camel). It matches the Rfam family "tRNA". Rfam says of the family: Transfer RNA (tRNA) molecules are approximately 80 nucleotides in length. Their secondary structure includes four short double-helical elements and three loops (D, anti-codon, and T loops). Lineage: Eukaryota; Metazoa; Chordata; Mammalia; Artiodactyla; Camelidae. RNAcentral also lists the same sequence under 1 other name. The record is from Rfam by way of RNAcentral.